Molecule: ribosomal RNA, 882 nt
Filed under: Triticum aestivum (bread wheat)
Lineage: Eukaryota; Viridiplantae; Streptophyta; Magnoliopsida; Poales; Poaceae
Description: partial small subunit ribosomal RNA
Source: RNAcentral
AUGCUAUUUGAUGAUAUUGGCUCGGUCCUGGAGUUUUAUAGGACAUAUGCACACAAUGUUGGAUUUGGUGUACGUCUUGGUCAGCAAAAGGUCACCAAUAAUGUGCUUCAAUGGAAGCGCUUCUUGUGUGCAAAAGAAGGCUUUCGGCCUGAGAAAGGUAUGGUUGUUGUUGACCCUUCAAAGAAAAGGAGAAAGGCUCAGGUGCUUGCUGCAAGGGAUGAUUGUGAUGUUCAAAACACAACAAAUGGUGAGGGUAUUAAAGUAAUGUUUGUUAGCGACCAAUACAACAAGAUUAGAGAAGUGUGUUAUGAUACAACAACCAUGGUUGCUAAGUGUUCUUGCAAGCUUUUCGAGUCCAAAGGAAUUGUGUGCCACCACAUUAUCCGAGUACUGAGGGGUGCAAAAAUAAAUGAAUUACCUAGACUUUAUGUUCUCAAGCGGUGGGAGAAAAAUUGCAAAAGGGACAUUAUGUUUGAUGUGGAAGGAAACGUACUUGAAGAGAAUUUCAUUGACCCAGUUGACAUGGCUGUGAGAAGAAAGAUAUUUGCUGUCAGGAAUAAGCUAGAAGAUCUCAUACGGACUGCUAAGUGCUCCAUGGAAGGAGUUGAAUUUCUCCACACCAGCUUGUGCAAGGCUGAGUUGGGUUUGAGGCAGCUAGUACUGGUCGUACCAUGCGAUACGCAAGAAAAUGAGGAGUCAUUUAUUGGUAGCAUCAUUCCAAAGGACGUCACCAUCCUCACACCUAUUGAUAUCAAUGCAAGGGGCACAUGCUCUAGAAUAAAGGGGCACAGGGAUGGUGUGAGGGGUGGAUCUGGUGACAAGAAAAGAAGGCCGGGAAUUCAUCAAAAAGUCGCACGCAAAUGCAGCAUUUGUUUGUUCUAG